UAACAAGAGUUUGAUCCUGGCUCAGGAUGAACGCUGGCGGCGUGCCUAACACAUGCAAGUCGAGCGAGAAGCUAUAAAAGGACACUUCGGUAGAAUUAUAUGGCGGAAAGCGGCGGACGGGUGAGUAACGCGUGGGAAACCUGCCUUUCACAGAGGGAUAGCCGAAGGAAACUACGAUUAAUACCUCAUAAAGCAAAAGCUUCGCAUGGAGCGAUUGCCAAAGAAUAAUCGGUGAAAGAUGGUCCCGCGUCUGAUUAGUUAGUUGGUAAGGUAGCGGCUUACCAAGGCGACGAUCAGUAGCCGGCCUGAGAGGGUGAACGGCCACAUUGGAACUGAGACACGGUCCAGACUCCUACGGGAGGCAGCAGUGGGGGAUAUUGCACAAUGGGCGAAAGCCUGAUGCAGCAACGCCGCGUGAAGGAAGAAGGCUUUCGAGUCGUAAACUUCUGUCCAAAGGGAAGAAAAGAUGACGGUACCUUUGAAGAAAGCCCCGGCUAACUACGUGCCAGCAGCCGCGGUAAUACGUAGGGGGCGAGCGUUAUCCGGAAUUACUGGGCGUAAAGAGUAUGUAGGUAGUUUAGCAAGCGUAGGGUUUAAGGCGACAGCCCAACUGUCGUAUGCCCCGCGAACUGUUAAACUUGAGUACAGGAGGGGAAGGCGGAAUUCCUAGUGUAGCGGUGAAAUGCGUAGAUAUUAGGAGGAACACCGGUGGCGAAGGCGGCCUUCUGGACUGUAACUGACACUGAGAUACGAAAGCGUGGGUAGCAAACAGGAUUAGAUACCCUGGUAGUCCACGCCGUAAACGAUGAGCACUAGGUGUCGGGCUCGAAUGAGUUCGGUGCCGCAGCAAACGCAAUAAGUGCUCCGCCUGGGGAGUACGCACGCAAGUGUGAAACUCAAAGGAAUUGACGGGGACCCGCACAAGCAGCGGAGCAUGUGGUUUAAUUCGAAGCAACGCGAAGAACCUUACCAGGGCUUGACAUCCCACUGAAGUAACGGGUAAUGCCGUUAUGAUCUUCGGAACAGUGGAGACAGGUGGUGCAUGGUUGUCGUCAGCUCGUGUCGUGAGAUGUUGGGUUAAGUCCCGCAACGAGCGCAACCCUUGCCGUUAGUUGCCAUCAUUAAGUUGGGCACUCUAAUGGGACUGCCGGGGAGAACCCGGAGGAAGGCGGGGAUGACGUCAAAUCAUCAUGCCCCUUAUGUCCUGGGCUACACACGUGCUACAAUGGCCGUCACAGAGGGAAGCGAAAGAGCGAUCUUAAGCCAAACCAAAAAGGCGGUCCCAGUUCGGACUGCAGGCUGCAACUCGCCUGCACGAAGCCGGAGUUGCUAGUAAUCGCGAAUCAGAAUGUCGCGGUGAAUGCGUUCCCGGGUCUUGUACACACCGCCCGUCACACCAUGGAAGUUGGGGGUGCCCGAAGUCGGUCAAUAAAGGUCGCCUAAGGCAAAACCAAUGACUGGGGUGAAGUCGUAACAAGGUAGCCGUAUCGGAAGGUGCGGCUGGAUCACCUCCUUUCUAGGGAGA
Molecule: ribosomal RNA, 1525 nt
Filed under: Eubacterium minutum ATCC 700079
Lineage: Bacteria; Bacillati; Bacillota; Clostridia; Peptostreptococcales; Anaerovoracaceae
Description: bacterial SSU rRNA
Rfam family: Bacterial small subunit ribosomal RNA
Source: RNAcentral